Molecule: long non-coding RNA, 2039 nt
Organism: Pogoniulus pusillus (Red-fronted tinkerbird)
Lineage: Eukaryota; Metazoa; Chordata; Aves; Piciformes; Lybiidae
Exons: 4
Source: RefSeq, a predicted model, not a curated record
CAACUGGGCAGAGGGAUCCUCCUCCUGUCACCAGUGCCUGGAUGUCCAACUGCUGGCCCAGAUGUGCAACUGAACUGCUGCUUCCUGAGGCUUCCAUCUGUCAAGCAAGCAUGUGCAUGAUUUUUUCUUCACACUUUCAAGCAGGUAAAAGUAUCAGCUACAAUUAAAAAGGUUUCUGCACCCACGUAGUUUUGAAAGUGAUGCCUACUGGCAGCACCCAUCUCCUUCCGGGUAGGAGAAAGAGGAAUGGGAACACAAAAGGCUGAUGUAUCUGCAGGUCUAAUUUGAGCAGGCUACCUCAGAAAUAAGAUACUUUACAAGCUGGGUGCUGUCUUUCAAGAAAACCAGGCUCCAACAUUGCCAUUUCUUUGUGACUUAGCAGUAAGAAACUCUCAGAGGAGCACCCAGAGAAGCAACCUGACUGUUCUCCAGCAGAGAUAACACAUGCUAAUGGAGCAGAGCUCUCAGUGAAAUGCUGAAAGCAGGUUGUAUCCCCUGCUUUUAUGGAAGAUACCUUUCAAUCACACAGCUUCCUUUCACGCUGCUUUAUCUGCGGCAGUCAACUAAAAUCGUGCAAAAUGGAUUAGAAGAAUGGAGUGGCACAGACACAAACUGAGAAGGAACUUUUCAAGUUCUUUAGCAGGAAAUGGAAGACAGAAACUGUAAAUGGCACGCUGGAUUUAAGACUUCAAAGUCAAUUAUGAACAAUGAAUGCACUUGGUAAAUGGAGAAGACUUCUCCUCUUGAUGUCAGGAAAGUGAAGCUCAGGAAUGCAAAGAUCAGUAAAAUCAAGCCAGAAACACAGAUCUGACAAACAGUCUUGUGAAACCUGGAAGAGAAGUGGAAACUCUGAUAGUAUAGAAAUAAUAGCACAUAUACAUAUAUGUUUCAUUACACAAGUAAGGUCAUUAUUCAUGUGAAGUAUAUGAAAAAUGGAAACUAGCAUGCAGCCUAAAUUGGAAAUUAGAAACAAUAAAUGAUGGAAAGGAAACUAUUAGAAUUCAAAUGAACCAGACUCACAGAUGUGUAAUUGCUUUCUUCCCAGCAGAUAGGCAGGAAGACUAUCACCAAGCAAGUCAGAACUGUGAGCUGUCUGCAGGCAAAGGCCUAUUUAUUAUGUCAGGAUAACUAGAAACCAGAAUGUCAGUGAAAACCUCUAGAGCCAGUUAAAAAUAAAUGAAUAAACAGGACUAACCAAGGUGCAGAGUCCAGAGAAGGAUGAUGAGGCUGGUGGGGGGUCAUGAACACAAGCUCUCUGAGAAGCGACUGAGGGAGCUGGGGCUCUUCAGCCUGGGAAGAGGAGGCUGAGGGGAGACCUCUUUGCUCUCUAUAACUCCCUGAAAAGAGGUUAAAAUGAGUUGGGGGCAGGCUCUUUUCCCAAGUAACAAGGGAUAGAACAAGAGGAAAUGGCCUCAGGUUGCACUGGGGAAGGUUUAGAUUGGAUAUCAGGAAAAUGCCUUUAGUGAAAGGGUCACUGGGCACUGGCACAGGCUGCCCGAGGAAGUGAUGGAAUCACUGUCCCUGGAGGUGUUUAAAAGACAUUUGGAUGAGGUGCUCAGAGACAUGAUAUGCUUGGAGGUCCUUUCCUGCCUGCAUGAUUACAAAAAAGACCAGGCUGGAUGUGGUCCUGUGGAAGGUGUCCCUACCCUCUGAAGCCAGCAGGGACAUCCUCAACCAGAUCAGAGCCCUGUCAAGCCUCACCUUGAAUAUCUCCAGGAAUGGGGCCCCAGCCACCUCCCUGGGCAGCCUGUUCCACUACCCUUAAGGUAAAGAACUUGUUCCUAAGAUCCUUAUCUCCUCUCGUUUGAACCCAUUGCCCCUCAUCCUGUCACUGCAGGCCUUUGUAAACAGUCUCUCUCCAUCCUUCCUGUCUGCCCCCUUCAGGUACUGGAAGGCCGCUAUUAAGUCUACUUAAAACCUUCUCCUCUCCAGGCUGAACAACCAAUAUCACAGCAUCCCAUAUCUCAUUCCAUCCAGCCAAUCCCCUCAAACUGCUUCACACUUGUAUUUAAAAACAUAAUAAAUCUAAUUAGAAUAUA